Molecule: long non-coding RNA, 214 nt
Organism: Labeo rohita (rohu)
Lineage: Eukaryota; Metazoa; Chordata; Actinopteri; Cypriniformes; Cyprinidae
Exons: 3
Source: RefSeq, a predicted model, not a curated record
UCGAUAUCCAGACAUACAAGAAGACUUCCUGGACCCACACGACAAAAUGCUCAGGAGGAGAGGCAGGAUUUUUUUGAGACUAUGGAGGAUAGCUGGACCUUGGUCUGCCUGGGGGAUCUGGGGCCAUGGUCUUGUAUUCAAAGGAAAGGUGAUAAAUGAGGAAGUCUGGGAAUGACUGAAGAAGGCAGCCGUGAGGGAAGGCAGUAAUCAUCAG